CCUACGGGUUGCACCAGUGGGGAAUAUUGCACAAUGGGCGCAAGCCUGAUGCAGCCAUGCCGCGUGCAUGAAGAAGGCCUUAGGGUUGUAAAGUACUUUCAGUUGGGAGGAAGGCGUUGAUGCUAAUAUCAUCAGCGAUUGAUGUUACCAACAGAAGAAGCACCGGCUAACUCCGUGCCAGCAGCCGCGGUAAUACGGAGGGUGCAAGCGUUAAUCGGAAUUACUGGGCGUAAAGCGCACGCAGGCGGUUGAUUAAGUUAGAUGUGAAAUCCCCGGGCUUAACCUGGGAAUGGCAUCUAAGACUGGUCAGCUAGAGUCUUGUAGAGGGGGGUAGAAUUCCAUGUGUAGCGGUGAAAUGCGUAGAGAUGUGGAGGAAUACCGGUGGCGAAGGCAGCCCCCUGGACAAAGACUGACGCUCAGGAGCGAAAGCGUGGGGAGCAAACAGGAUUAGAUACCCCGGUAGUC
RNAcentral lists this ribosomal RNA (465 nucleotides) under uncultured bacterium. RNAcentral describes it as "bacterial SSU rRNA". It matches the Rfam family "Bacterial small subunit ribosomal RNA", at positions 338 to 795 of the family's 1533-position model. The record is from RNAcentral.